CCUACGGGGGGCAGCAGUGGGGAAUAUUGGACAAUGGGGGCAACCCUGAUCCAGCCAUGCCGCGUGUGUGAAGAAGGCCCUCGGGUUGUAAAGCACUUUCAGUGAGGAAGAACGCCUGGUGGUUAAUACCCAUCAGGUAAGACAUCACUCACAGAAGAAGCACCGGCUAACUCCGUGCCAGCAGCCGCGGUAAUACGGAGGGUGCGAGCGUUAAUCGGAAUUACUGGGCGUAAAGCGCGCGUAGGUGGCUUGAUAAGCCGGUUGUGAAAGCCCCGGGCUCAACCUGGGAACGGCAUCCGGAACUGUCAAGCUAGAGUGCAGGAGAGGAAGGUAGAAUUCCCGGUGUAGCGGUGAAAUGCGUAGAGAUCGGGAGGAAUACCAGUGGCGAAGGCGGCCUUCUGGACUGACACUGACACUGAGGUGCGAAAGCGUGGGUAGCAAACAGGAUUAGAUACCCUGGUAGUC
RNAcentral lists this ribosomal RNA (465 nucleotides) under Vreelandella stevensii. RNAcentral describes it as "partial 16S ribosomal RNA". It matches the Rfam family "Bacterial small subunit ribosomal RNA", at positions 338 to 795 of the family's 1533-position model. Lineage: Bacteria; Pseudomonadati; Pseudomonadota; Gammaproteobacteria; Oceanospirillales; Halomonadaceae. The record is from RNAcentral.